GAUGAACGCUGGCGGCGUGCCUAAUACAUGCGAGUCGAGCGAACGGACGAGAAGCUUGCUUCUCUGAUGUUAGCGGCGGACGGGUGAGUAACACGUGGAUAACCUACCUAUAAGACUGGGAUAACUUCGGGAAACCGUAGCUAAUACCGGAUAAUAUAUUGAACCGCAUGGUUCAAAAGUGAAAGACGGUCUUGCUGUCACUUAUAGAUGGAUCCGCGCUGCAUUAGCUAGUUGGUAAGGUAACGGCUUACCAAGGCAACGAUGCGUAGCCGACCUGAGAGGGUGAUCGGCCACACUGGAACUGAGACACGGUCCAGACUCCUACGGGAGGCAGCAGUAGGGAAUCUUCCGCAAUGGGCGAAAGCCUGACGGAGCAACGCCGCGUGAGUGAUGAAGGUCUUCGGAUCGUAAAACUCUGUUAUUAGGGAAGAACAAAUGUGUAAGUAACUAUGCACGUCUUGACGGUACCUAAUCAGAAAGCCACGGCUAACUACGUG
Molecule: ribosomal RNA, 497 nt
Filed under: uncultured bacterium
Lineage: Bacteria
Description: partial 16S ribosomal RNA
Rfam family: Bacterial small subunit ribosomal RNA
Source: RNAcentral